Molecule: ribosomal RNA, 252 nt
Filed under: uncultured bacterium
Lineage: Bacteria
Description: partial 16S ribosomal RNA
Rfam family: Bacterial small subunit ribosomal RNA
Source: RNAcentral
UACGGAGGAUGCGAGCGUUAUCCGGAUUUAUUGGGUUUAAAGGGUGCGUAGGCGGACUGUCAAGUCAGCGGUAAAAUUGAGAGGCUCAACCUCUUCCCGCCGUUGAAACUGGUGGUCUUGAGUGGAUGAGAAGUACGCGGAAUGCGUGGUGUAGCGGUGAAAUGCAUAGAUAUCACGCAGAACUCCGAUUGCGAAGGCAGCGUACCGGGAUCCAACUGACGCUGAGGCACGAAAGCGUGGGGAUCAAACAGG